This 449-nucleotide ribosomal RNA is filed under the name uncultured bacterium. Its description in RNAcentral is "partial 16S ribosomal RNA". It matches the Rfam family "Bacterial small subunit ribosomal RNA", at positions 29 to 523 of the family's 1533-position model. The record is from RNAcentral.
AACGAACGCUGGCGGCAGGCCUAACACAUGCAAGUCGAGCGAAGCCUUCGGGCUUAGCGGCGGACGGGUGAGUAACGCGUGGGAACGUGCCUCUUGGUACGGAAUAGCCCCGGGAAACUGGGAGUAAUACCGUAUGUGGUCGAGAGACGAAAGAUUUAUCGCAAAAGGAUCGGCCCGCGUUGGAUUAGGUAGUUGGUGGGGUAAUGGCCUACCAAGCCGACGAUCCAUAGCUGGUUUGAGAGGAUGAUCAGCCACACUGGGACUGAGACACGGCCCAGACUCCUACGGGAGGCAGCAGUGGGGAAUCUUAGACAAUGGGGGAAACCCUGAUCUAGCCAUGCCGCGUGAUCGAUGAAGGCCUUAGGGUUGUAAAGAUCUUUCAGUGGGGAAGAUAAUGACUGUACCCACAGGAGAAGCCCCGGCUAACUCCGUGCCAGCCGCCGCUGUAA